CCUACGGGAGGCUGCAGUAGGGAAUUUUCCACAAUGGGCGCAAGCCUGAUGGAGCAACACCGCGUGAGUGAAGAAGGGUUUCGGCUCGUAAAGCUCUGUUGUUGGAGAAGAACGUGCGUGAGAGUAACUGUUCACGCAGUGACGGUAUCCAACCAGAAAGUCACGGCUAACUACGUGCCAGCAGCCGCGAUAAUACGUAGGUGGCAAGCGUUAUCCGGAUGUAUUGGGCGUAAAGCGAGCGCAGGCGGUUGCUUAGGUCUGAUGUGAAAGCCUUCGGCUUAACCGAAGAAGUGCAUCGGAAACCGGGCAACUUGAGUGCAGAAGCGGAAAGUGGAACUCAAGGUGUAGCGGUGGAAUGCGUAGAUAUAUGGAAGAACACCAGUGGCGAAGGCGGCUGUCUGGUCUGCAACUGACGCUGAGGCUCGAAAGCAUGGGUAGCGAACAGGAUUAGAUACCCUUGUAGUC
Molecule: ribosomal RNA, 465 nt
Filed under: uncultured bacterium
Lineage: Bacteria
Description: partial 16S ribosomal RNA
Rfam family: Bacterial small subunit ribosomal RNA
Source: RNAcentral